AACCCAACAACCAUAGAGAGGAGCAGGAGGACUGAAGAGAGGAUUGGGAGGACCCGGGAGAGGAGUGGGAGGACCAGGGAGAGGAGUGGGAGGACCAGGGAGAGGAGUGGGAGGACCAGGGAGAGGAGUGGGAGGACCAGGGAGAGGAGUGGGAGGACCAGGGAGAGGAACCCAACAACCAUAGAGAGGAGGAGGAGGACUGAAGAGAGGAUUGGGAGGACCUGGGAGAGGAACCCAACAACCAUAGAGAGGAGCAGGAGGACUGAAGAGAGGAGCGGGAUGACCAGGGAGAGGAACCCAACAACCACAGAGAGGAGCAGGAGGACCAUAGAGAGGAGCGGGAGGACCGGGGAGACGAGUGGGAGAACCAUAGAAAGGAACCUAACAACCAUAGAGAAGAAUGGGAGAAUCACAGAGAGGAGCAAGAGGACCAGGGAGAGGAACCCAGCAACCGGAUAGAGAGGAAUGGGAGGACUGUAAAGAGGAACCCAACAACCAUAGACAGGAGCAGGAAAACCAGGGAGAGGAGCAGGAGGACUGGGGAGAGGAACCCAACAACCAUAGAGAGAAGCAGGAGGACCGGAGAGAGAUAAAUGGGACCUCCAACCAUAGAGGUGAACGCAACAACCAUAGAGUUGAACAGAACUACCAUAGAGAUGAAUGAGACCUCCAACCAUAGAGGUGAACACCACAACCAUAGAGUUGGACAGAACCACCACAGAGAUGAACACAACCAUAGAGUUGAAGAGAACAACCAUAGAGAUGAAUGAGAUCUCCAAGCAUAGAGAUGAACACAACCAUAGAGUUGAACAGAACUACCAUAGAGACGAAUGAGACCUCCAACCAUAGAGAUGAACGCAACAACCAUAGAGUUGGCGCGACAACACCGCGACGGGGUGAGGGGCCGCCGCGGUGACUGGAGGACCCACCUGAGCGGGGCUGUAGCCCUCGUAGAGAUGGAAGCGGCCCUGGAGGACUGCGCAGGGGACGGAGCCCAGGUAGCCCACGACCAGGCGGCCAGCGUGGCCCGACACUGCGGAGAGGGAUCAGCGCCCCACAGCUGCCCCACGGCUGCCCCACAAGUGACAGCCCGGACCCACAAGUGC
Molecule: long non-coding RNA, 1106 nt
Filed under: Numida meleagris (helmeted guineafowl)
Lineage: Eukaryota; Metazoa; Chordata; Aves; Galliformes; Numididae
Description: lncRNA (ENSNMEG00000002336.1)
Source: RNAcentral